This 270-nucleotide ribosomal RNA is filed under the name uncultured eukaryote. RNAcentral's name for it is "partial small subunit ribosomal RNA". It matches the Rfam family "Eukaryotic small subunit ribosomal RNA", at positions 1161 to 1452 of the family's 1831-position model. The record is from RNAcentral.
AGGGCACCACCAGGUGUGGAGCCUGCGGCUUAAUUUGACUCAACACGGGGAAACUCACCAGGUCCAGACAUAACUAGGAUUGACAGAUUGAUAGCUCUUUCAUGAUUUUAUGGGUGGUGGUGCAUGGCCGUUCUUAGUUGGUGGAGUGAUUUGUCUGGUUAAUUCCGAUAACGAACGAGACCUUAACCUGCUAAAUAGCCAGGCCGGCUUUUGCUGGUCGCAGGCUUCUUAGAGGGACUGUCAGCGUCUAGCUGACGGAAGUUUGAGGCA